UGGGGGAUCUUGCACAAUGGGCGCAAGCCUGAUGCAGCCAUGCCGCGUGAGUGAAGAAGGCCCUAGGGUUGUAAAACUCUUUCAGCGGGGAAGAUAAUGACGGUACCCGCAGAAGAAGCCCCGGCUAACUCCGUGCCAGCAGCCGCGGUAAUACGGAGGAUGCAAGCGUUAUCCGGAAUGAUUGGGCGUAAAGCGUCUGCAGGUGGCUAUGCAAGUCUGCUGUUAAAGAGUGGAGCUCAACUCCAUAAGGGCAGUGGAAACUGCGUAACUAGAGUACGUUCGGGGUAGAGGGAAUUCCUGGUGUAGCGGUGAAAUGCGUAGAUAUCAGGAAGAACACCGGUGGCGAAAGCGCUCUACUAGGCCGUAACUGACACUGAGAGACGAAAGCUAAGGGAGCGAAUGGGAUUAGAUACCCCCGUAGUCC
Molecule: ribosomal RNA, 424 nt
Filed under: uncultured prokaryote
Description: bacterial SSU rRNA
Rfam family: Bacterial small subunit ribosomal RNA
Source: RNAcentral